CGGGUGAGUAACACGUGAGCAACCUACCCUCAACUUUGGGAUAAGCCUCGGAAACGGGGUCUAAUACCGGAUAAUACUGACCGUCUCAUGGUGGUUGGUUGAAAGUUCUGGCGGUUGGGGAUGGGCUCGCGGCCUAUCAGCUUGUUGGUGGGGUAAUGGCCUACCAAGGCGUCGACGGGUAGCCGGCCUGAGAGGGCGACCGGCCACACUGGGACUGAGACACGGCCCAGACUCCUACGGGAGGCAGCAGUGGGGAAUAUUGCGCAAUGGACGAAAGUCUGACGCAGCAACGCCGCGUGAGGGAUGACGGCCUUCGGGUUGUAAACCUCUUUCAGCAGGGACGAAGCGAGAGUGACGGUACCUGCAGAAGAAGGACCGGCCAACUACGUGCCAGCAGCCGCGGUAAUACGUAGGGUCCGAGCGUUGUCCGGAAUUAUUGGGCGUAAAGGGCUCGUAGGCGGUUCGUCACGUCGGGAGUGAAAACUCGGGGCUUAACCCCGAGCCUGCUUCCGAUACGGGCAGACUAGAGGUAGGCAGGGGAGAGCGGAACUCCUGGUGUAGCGGUGGAAUGCGCAGAUAUCAGGAAGAACACCGGUGGCGAAGGCGGCUCUCUGGGCCUUACCUGACGCUGAGGAGCGAAAGCGUGGGUAGCGAACAGGAUUAGAUACCCUGGUAGUCCACGCCGUAAACGUUGGGCGCUAGGUGUGGGGGACAUUCCACGUCCUCCGUGCCGCAGCUAACGCAUU
This 746-nucleotide ribosomal RNA is filed under the name Kribbella sp. RNAcentral's name for it is "bacterial SSU rRNA". It matches the Rfam family "Bacterial small subunit ribosomal RNA", at positions 103 to 861 of the family's 1533-position model. The record is from RNAcentral. Lineage: Bacteria; Bacillati; Actinomycetota; Actinomycetes; Propionibacteriales; Kribbellaceae.